RNAcentral lists this ribosomal RNA (425 nucleotides) under uncultured Lachnospiraceae bacterium. RNAcentral describes it as "bacterial SSU rRNA". It matches the Rfam family "Bacterial small subunit ribosomal RNA", at positions 355 to 794 of the family's 1533-position model. The record is from RNAcentral. Lineage: Bacteria; Bacillati; Bacillota; Clostridia; Lachnospirales; Lachnospiraceae.
UGGGGAAUAUUGGGCAAUGGGCGAAAGCCUGACCCAGCGACGCCGCGUGAGGGAAGAAGAUCUUCGGAUUGUAAACCUUAGUCAACAGGGAAGAAGAAAGUGACGGUACCUGUGGAGGAAGCCACGGCUAACUACGUGCCAGCAGCCGCGGUAAUACGUAGGUGGCGAGCGUUAUCCGGAAUUACUGGGUGUAAAGGGAGCGUAGACGGAAUGGCAAGUCUGAUGUGAAAGGCCGGGGCUCAACCCCGGGACUGCAUUGGAAACUGUCAAUCUAGAGUACCGGAGGGGUAAGUGGAAUUCCUAGUGUAGCGGUGAAAUGCGUAGAUAUUAGGAGGAACACCAGUGGCGAAGGCGGCUUACUGGACGGUAACUGACGUUGAGGCUCGAAAGCGUGGGGAGCAAACAGGAUUAGAUACCCUGGUAGU